ACUGUUUCUCUGCUUAAUACUUCUCUUGCCGCAUCCAUUCUAUAAACGAACUAUCAAAUUCAUUUUCAUCUGAAACCAUUGCCAGUUACGCAAAUUAACACUUAAACAAGAAAUGGAAUAAGCGAUGCAAUUUUCAAAAGCCAAAUCUGAGUUAGUUACGCGGAGAUUUGUUGAGAUCAAAAAAUCAAAAUUCACCACUGUAAUCAACCAUACUACUAAUAAUCUGUAAUUAGACAAAAAAAAAAAAAGAGAGAGAAGUAUGCAGAUCCUCUCUUCUUGAGAAUAUGAAACUGCUAUGGAGAAAGAAUACCCCUUCACUUUGCCUACUAUUUUUACGCCUUUGCUCUUACACCCUUAACCAAGCAUUUGGAAAUUGAAUUUUUAUUAGUUUGAUUUACCCUAGCGAUUCCACCAAAAAACUAAAUCUUCUUCUUCUAUGUGGUGGUGAAGUAGAAAUAAAGAG
RNAcentral lists this long non-coding RNA (463 nucleotides) under Ricinus communis (castor bean). RNAcentral describes it as "long non-coding RNA (RCOM_LNC000042)". Lineage: Eukaryota; Viridiplantae; Streptophyta; Magnoliopsida; Malpighiales; Euphorbiaceae. The record is from RNAcentral.